AGUCGUAACAAGGUUUCCGUAGGUGAACCUGCGGAAGGAUCAUUACAGAAUGAAAAGUGCUUAACUGCAUUUUUUCUUACACAUGUGUUUUUCUUUUUUUGAAAACUUUGCUUUGGUAGGCCUUCUAUAUGGGGCCUGCCAGAGAUUAAACUCAACCAAAUUUUAUUUAAUGUCAACCGAUUAUUUAAUAGUCAAAACUUUCAACAACGGAUCUCUUGGUUCUCGCAUCGAUGAAGAACGCAGCGAAAUGCGAUAAGUAAUAUGAAUUGCAGAUAUUCGUGAAUCAUCGAAUCUUUGAACGCACAUUGCGCCCUUUGGUAUUCCAAAGGGCAUGCCUGUUUGAGCGUCAUUUCUCCCUCAAACCCUCGGGUUUGGUGUUGAGCGAUACGCUGGGUUUGCUUGAAAGAAAGGCGGAGUAUAAACUAAUGGAUAGGUUUUUUCCACUCAUUGGUACAAACUCCAAAACUUCUUCCAAAUUCGACCUCAAAUCAGGUAGGACUACCCGCUGAACUUAAGCAUAUCAAUAAGCGGAGGA
RNAcentral lists this unclassified non-coding RNA (535 nucleotides) under Lodderomyces parapsilosis. RNAcentral's name for it is "Candida parapsilosis sequence contains 18S rRNA gene, ITS1, 5.8S rRNA gene, ITS2, 28S rRNA gene". The stretch from base 196 to 349 matches the Rfam family "5.8S ribosomal RNA". Lineage: Eukaryota; Fungi; Ascomycota; Pichiomycetes; Serinales; Debaryomycetaceae. The record is from RNAcentral.